ACGAACGCUGGCGGCAGGCCUAACACAUGCAAGUCGAGCGAGAUCUUCGGGUCUAGCGGCGGACGGGUGAGUAACGCGUGGGAAUAUGCCCUUCUCUGCGGAAUAGCCUCGGGAAACUGAGCGUAAUACCGCAUACGCCCUUUGGGGGAAAGAUUUAUCGGAGAAGGAUUAGCCCGCGUUGGAUUAGGUAGUUGGUGGGGUAACGGCCUACCAAGCCGACGAUCCAUAGCUGGUUUGAGAGGAUGAUCAGCCACACUGGGACUGAGACACGGCCCAGACUCCUACGGGAGGCAGCAGUGGGGAAUCUUAGACAAUGGGGGCAACCCUGAUCUAGCCAUGCCGCGUGAGUGAUGAAGGCCUUAGGGUUGUAAAGCUCUUUCAGCUGGGAAGAUAAUGACGGUACCAGCAGAAGAAGCCCCGGCUAACUCCGUG
RNAcentral lists this ribosomal RNA (432 nucleotides) under uncultured bacterium. RNAcentral's name for it is "partial 16S ribosomal RNA". It matches the Rfam family "Bacterial small subunit ribosomal RNA", at positions 29 to 507 of the family's 1533-position model. The record is from RNAcentral.